UGCAGAAUCGUGUGUUCUUCAGUUC
Molecule: non-coding RNA, 25 nt
Filed under: Mus musculus (house mouse)
Lineage: Eukaryota; Metazoa; Chordata; Mammalia; Rodentia; Muridae
Source: RNAcentral